Molecule: long non-coding RNA, 2706 nt
Filed under: Manihot esculenta (cassava)
Lineage: Eukaryota; Viridiplantae; Streptophyta; Magnoliopsida; Malpighiales; Euphorbiaceae
Description: long non-coding RNA (MESC_LNC001005)
Source: RNAcentral
UCAUCAUUCUGUUGUUGCUGAUAUGCUUGUUGUUGGUAACUUCAUGCUUAUGUAUAAACCACUUCUCCAAUGACAAUUAUUUAGUUGAAAGGAAGAGCAUGUAUUGUGGUUGUCUUUGUGGGGAACUAGGGUUUAUAAAUUGGAAACUUCAGCUGCAAACCAGUCAAUUCUUUGUCAGUCACCGAGCAUCUACCUAAGAAUAAUUUGUCACACCAUUUAUAUCUUCUGUGCUUUUCUCUGAACAAUUUACACAUUUUAAGUCAGGGAAUUGUAAAUCACAGUAGAGAAUGUAAAUUCGCAAAGUUGAGUUGGGUCCUUUUUGCAAUAGUUUAAACUAGAACUAAAUACUUAAUAUUCCACUUUCAAACUCUAGAAAAUAAUUAAAAUGCAUUGGUUCUUACAGAUACAGUAUACUUUUCCUUUCCUCAAUAUUUCUUGUGAUUGUAAGUAGGAAAAUUCCAAACAUAGUUUGAACUUGAGCAAUGAACACCGAAGCCUCUUAGAAGACAUAAAAUUGUCUUAAAUUACCAAAAACACCUCUUAAAAUUGAAGGAAUCACAAAAUAUACAGUUCUACCACUAUUCAAAUUGCACUCAUAAUUUGUUUGGAAUCCCCAAAUUGAAAUUUCUUUGAACUUAAGGCCCUAUUUAGCUCUGGGUUAAAGGAAAGGUAAAUAAUUAUUUAGUUCUUAAACUCCAACGUCUUUUGUUGCUCUUUUUUUUUUUUAACAAAGUUUUAAUCCAUCACUCUGAGUAUCAAAACAAUCAGUAAUUUUAUGUCGUCAUUAAAAUCCCAUCUAAAUAUUCCAAAAACAUAAACUCUACGUUCAAGUUUUGUGGAGUCAAAACUUAAAUGGCACUUAAGGUUCAACUUAAAGUCUUAAACCAAAUUUUCCACCUCAAAACCCUAGCUUGGUGCGGCACCAGUGCUUGUGCUUUGCAUUGUACCUGAUUGUCUAUCUGCUCUCAUGUGGAUCUUAUGAGGGAUGGCUUGUUUCCGGAAGAUAGGAAUUCCGAUGCCGGGGUCUAGCCGGGUAUUAUAGUGUCAGAUCCGGGCAAGGUUCUUAAUGAGCCUGAUGUGGAGAUCCUAGGAGAUCUCACUUAUGUUAAGCAGCCAGUGCGGAUCAUAGACACGCAGAUCAGGAAGCUGAGAAACAAGAAACAAGAAACAAGGAAAUCCCGAUGGUGAAAGUCCUUUGGGAUCACCAUAAUAUGGAAGAGUGCACCUGGGAGACACGGGAGUCCAUGCUCUAGCAAUACCCUUAUCUAUCAAGCUACUAAAUUUUGCCUAUAAAACUGUAGUCUUGAAAUGUUCCUGUUGUUUUCUUUUUCUAAUUUACUAUGUUGUUUGGUUUAUGUUUGUACAAUAUGGUAAUGUGAACAAAUAGGGGGUUUGAACAAGAAUAAUAAGGGAUUAAAUAGGUAGUGGUAUUUUGGGGAUGAAUGAAUAUGUUUUGUGAAGAAAGGUUAGUUUUGGAAGAAAAAUUAGUUGUCUCUCAUUUGACCUUAUCCAUUGUCAUUGACUAAUGGAAAUUUAGAGUUAAUUUUGUAUCGACGGCUUGGGAGAUUAACAGAAUUAAACAUGAUGUAUUUACUAAUUGAGUUUUGAAAAUAAAGGGACCAAUUAAUUAUAUUGGCAAACCUAGAGACUAAUAAUUAUUUACCCUUAAGGGAAUAUACUAAUAGCAUUGGAAAAUAUAGAAUUGAUUUUAUGUGAUCUUUGUGAUUUUACUUUGGUUUGAGGAAGUAUCAAGCAUGAAUACAAGGUUGGUGGCAUCAACUAAAGCAUUGGAUCAUCUUUUGCCUUUAUUUUGUUUCUUUAAUAGUAAUCCUGCUGGAGUUUUCUUUCUUUAUUAACUUUUAGCAAGUUGAACUGACCAUUAGAUAUCCUAUUAUUCCUCUUUAAUCAAAUACUCAAAAUUGCAUGAAGCUAACCACAUUUCUGUAACCUUGAGCCCUCCUUUUUAUUUGUCUUGAAAGUCCUCAAAAUUCAUAAGCAACAAAUAUGAAAAAGUGGUCAAGAAAACUCGGUGCUUCUCAAAAGUCCAAACUUUGAAAAACUAGUUCAACAAGCUAGUUUCUUUGGCUGGAAGGAUUUGAGACAAACAUCAGGAGAGUAUAUGAAAGGUUUUUGAUGAAUUGUAGAAGGUUUCUUCUUGGUAUAUAUUCUUUAUAAUGGAUAAUGAAGUCAAGAAGUGGGUAGGGAUAUAGUACAUUCCUCACCUUGAGUUGGUUGUCUAGCACACUUCUAUUAAGUUGGAAAUGUCAUUGCAAACAACCACUUAGAAACGGUCAAAGUUGUGGCUUUGCUUAAUCCUGCUGGAGUUUUCUUUCUUUAUUAACUUUUAGCAAGUUGAACUUGACCAUUAGAUAUCCUAUUAUUCCUCUUUAAUCAAAUAUUCAAAAUUGUAUGAAGCUAACCACAUUUCUGUAACCUUGAACCCUCCUUUUUUUUUCUUGAAAGUCCUCAAAAUUCAUAAGCAACAAAUAUGAAAAAGUGGUCAAGAAAACUUGGUGCUUCUCAAAAGUUCAAACUUUGAAAAACUAGUUCAACAAGCUAGUUUCUUUGGCUGGAAGGAUUUGAAACAAACAGCGGGAGAGUAUAUGAAAGGUUUUUGAUAAAUUGUAGAAGGUUACUUCUUGGUAUAUAUUCUUUAUAAUGGAUAAUGAAGUCAAGAAGUGGGUAGGGAUAUAGUACAUUCCUCAC